Molecule: transfer RNA, 72 nt
Filed under: Marmota monax (woodchuck)
Lineage: Eukaryota; Metazoa; Chordata; Mammalia; Rodentia; Sciuridae
Rfam family: tRNA
About the family: Transfer RNA (tRNA) molecules are approximately 80 nucleotides in length. Their secondary structure includes four short double-helical elements and three loops (D, anti-codon, and T loops). Further hydrogen bonds mediate the characteristic L-shaped molecular structure. tRNAs have two regions of fundamental functional importance: the anti-codon, which is responsible for specific mRNA codon recognition, and the 3' end, to which the tRNAs corresponding amino acid is attached (by aminoacyl-tRNA synthetases). tRNAs cope with the degeneracy of the genetic code in two manners: having more than one tRNA (with a specific anti-codon) for a particular amino acid; and 'wobble' base-pairing, i.e. permitting non-standard base-pairing at the 3rd anti-codon position.
Source: Rfam by way of RNAcentral
UAAGUUGUGGCUCAGUGGUAGAGGGCUUGCCUGGCAUGUAUGAGGCCCUGGGUUUGAUCCCCUGCACCUCAA